UAGGGAAUAUUGCAAAAUGGGCGAAAGCCCGAUGCAGCAACGCCGCGUGGGCGAUGAAGGCCUUCGGGUCGUAAAGCCCUUUUUGAGGGGAUGAGGAAAGACAGUACCCUCAGAAUAAGCCUCGGCUAACUACGUGCCAGCAGCCGCGGUAAAACGUAGGAGGCGAGCGUUAUCCGGAUUUACUGGGCGUAAAGCGCGUGCAGGCGGAUUGGAGAGUUGGAUGUGAAAGCUCCCGGCUUAACUGGGAGAGGUCGUUCAAUACUUCCAGUCUUGAGUGCAGUAGAGGGAAGUGGAAUUCCGGGUGUAGUGGUGAAAUGCGUAGAUAUCCGGAGGAACACCCGUGACGAAAGCGGCUUCCUGGACUGUAACUGACGCUCAGACGCGAAAGCUAGGGUAGCAAACG
Molecule: ribosomal RNA, 403 nt
Filed under: uncultured bacterium
Lineage: Bacteria
Description: bacterial SSU rRNA
Rfam family: Bacterial small subunit ribosomal RNA
Source: RNAcentral